GGAGAGGUGGCCGAGUGGUUGAAGGCGGCGGUCUUGAAAACCGCAGGGUUAACGCCCCGGGGGUUCGAAUCCCUCCCUCUCCGCCA
Molecule: transfer RNA, 86 nt
Filed under: Chloroflexota bacterium
Lineage: Bacteria; Bacillati; Chloroflexota
Description: Chloroflexi bacterium (soil metagenome) tRNA-Ser
Rfam family: tRNA
About the family: Transfer RNA (tRNA) molecules are approximately 80 nucleotides in length. Their secondary structure includes four short double-helical elements and three loops (D, anti-codon, and T loops). Further hydrogen bonds mediate the characteristic L-shaped molecular structure. tRNAs have two regions of fundamental functional importance: the anti-codon, which is responsible for specific mRNA codon recognition, and the 3' end, to which the tRNAs corresponding amino acid is attached (by aminoacyl-tRNA synthetases). tRNAs cope with the degeneracy of the genetic code in two manners: having more than one tRNA (with a specific anti-codon) for a particular amino acid; and 'wobble' base-pairing, i.e. permitting non-standard base-pairing at the 3rd anti-codon position.
Source: RNAcentral